This 301-nucleotide ribosomal RNA is filed under the name uncultured bacterium. Its description in RNAcentral is "partial 16S ribosomal RNA". It matches the Rfam family "Bacterial small subunit ribosomal RNA", at positions 509 to 807 of the family's 1533-position model. The record is from RNAcentral.
CAGUCGCCGCGGGAAUACGGAGGAUCCAAGCGUUAUCCGGAAUCAUUGGGUUUAAAGGGUCCGUAGGCGGUUUAGUAAGUCAGUGGUGAAAGCCCAUCGCUCAACGGUGGAACGGCCAUUGAUACUGCUGAACUUGAAUUAUCAGGAAGUAACUAGAAUACGUAGUGUAGCGGUGAAAUGCUUAGAGAUUACAUGGAAUACCAAUUGCGAAGGCAGGUUACUACUAAUUGAUUGACGCUGAUGGACGAAAGCGUGGGGAGCGAACAGGAUUAGAUACCCCGGUAGUCCCUGUCUCUUAUAC